UACGGAAGGCAGCAGUGGGGAAUAUUGCACAAUGGGCGCAAGCCUGAUGCAGCCAUGCCGCGUGUAUGAAGAAGGCCUUCGGGUUGUAAAGUACUUUCAGUCGUGAGGAAGGUGUUAAGGUUAAUAACCUUAGCAAUUGACGUUAGCGACAGAAGAAGCACCGGCUAACUCCGUGCCAGCAGCCGCGGUAAUACGGAGGGUGCGAGCGUUAAUCGGAAUUACUGGGCGUAAAGGGCACGCAGGCGGUUAAUUAAGUUGGAUGUGAAAUCCCCGGGCUUAACCUGGGAAUGGCAUUCAAGACUGGUUAGCUAGAGUCUUGUAGAGGGGGUAGAAUUCCAUGUGUAGCGGUGAAAUGCGUAGAGAUGUGGAGGAAUACCGGUGGCGAAGGCGGCCCCCUGGGACAAAAGGACUGACGCUCAUGUGCGAAAGCGUGGGGAGCAAACAGGAUUAGAUACC
Molecule: ribosomal RNA, 456 nt
Filed under: uncultured bacterium
Lineage: Bacteria
Description: bacterial SSU rRNA
Rfam family: Bacterial small subunit ribosomal RNA
Source: RNAcentral